UUGUGUAUACAUUUUUGGGACAACCUAUAUUAAAAUGGAAUGAUAGAAGAUCAGCAUGGCCCCUCACAAGGGUGCUACACAAAUUCAUGAAGCCUUCCAUAUUAAA
This is a small nuclear RNA of Molossus molossus (Pallas's mastiff bat), 106 nucleotides long. The record is from RefSeq and is a predicted model, not a curated record. NCBI's taxonomy places the organism in Eukaryota, Metazoa, Chordata, Mammalia, Chiroptera, Molossidae.